AUGGGAACAAACUUCAGAACGAGGAGAGACAGCAGGGCCCAGGGCACCCUCGCGGGCUGACCCAGGCAGUGAGGGCCUGCGGCCGGCUGGCCAGGGCAGCGGCGUGGCGGCGGGCGCGGCGGGGACCUGCGUGAGGAAGCCCUGAGCCCUCGGCGGGCUGCGAGCGACUCCCCGGCGAUGCCUCACAACUCCAUCAGAUCCGGCCACGGAGGGCUGAACCAGCUGGGCGGGGCCUUUGUGAACGGCAGACCCCUGCCUGAAGUGGUGCGUCAACGCAUCGUGGACCUGGCCCACCAGGGCGUGCGGCCCUGUGACAUCUCCCGCCAGCUCCGAGUCAGCCAUGGCUGUGUCAGCAAGAUCCUUGGCAGUAGGUACUACGAGACCGGCAGCAUCCGGCCUGGAGUGAUAGGGGGCUCCAAGCCCAAGGUGGCCACCCCCAAGGUGGUGGAGAAGAUUGGAGACUAUAAGCGGCAGAACCCCACCAUGUUUGCCUGGGAGAUCCGAGACCGGCUCCUGGCGGAGGGUGUCUGUGACAAUGACACUGUGCCCAGUGUCAGCUCCAUCAACAGAAUCAUCCGGACCAAAGUACAGCAACCGUUCAACCUCCCCAUGGACAGCUGCGUGGCCACCAAGUCCCUGAGCCCAGGACAUACGCUGAUCCCCAGCUCAGCUGUAACGCCCCCAGAGUCACCCCAGUCAGACUCUCUGGGCUCCACCUACUCCAUCAACGGGCUCCUGGGGAUCGCUCAGCCUGGCAGCGACAGCAAGAGGAAAAUGGACGACAGUGACCAGGACAGCUGCCGGCUGAGCAUCGACUCCCAGGGCAGCAGCAGCGGGCCCCGCAAGCACCUGCGCACGGACGCCUUCAGCCAGCACCACCUUGAGCCGCUCGAGUGCCCAUUCGAGAGGCAGCACUACCCGGAGGCCUAUGCCUCCCCCAGCCACACCAAAGGCGAGCAGGUGAGCAGCCAGGGCCUCUACCCGCUGCCCUUGCUCAACAGCGCCGCCCUGGACGACGGCAAGGCCACCCUGACCCCUUCCAACACACCCUUGGGGCGCAACCUCUCGACUCACCAGACCUACCCAGUGGUGGCAGAUCCUCAUUCACCCUUCGCCAUAAAGCAGGAAACCCCCGAGGUGUCCAGUUCUAGCUCCACCCCUUCCUCUUUAUCUAGCUCCGCCUUUUUGGAUCUGCAGCAAGUCGGCUCCGGGGUCCCAGCCGGUGCCUCGGUCCCGCCCUUCAAUGCCUUUCCCCAUGCUGCCUCCGUGUACGGGCAGUUCACGGGCCAGGCGCUCCUCUCAGGGAGAGAGAUGGUGGGACCCACGCUGCCCGGAUACCCACCCCACAUCCCCACCAGUGGGCAGGGCAGCUAUGCCUCUUCUGCCAUCGCAGGCAUGGUGGCAGGAAGUGAAUACUCGGGCAAUGCCUACGGCCACACCCCCUACUCCUCCUACAGCGAGGCCUGGCGCUUCCCCAACUCCAGCUUGCUGAGUUCCCCAUAUUAUUACAGUUCCACAUCAAGGCCAAGUGCGCCACCCACCACCGCCACGGCCUUUGACCAUCUGUAGUUGCUAUGGGGACAGUGGGAGCAACUGAGCACCAGGAGGACUUGGCCUGGGACAGGCCCCAGAGAGUCACACAAAGGAAUCUUUAUUUAUUACAUGAAAAAUAACCACAAGUCCAGCAUUGCGGCGCACUCCCUGUGUGGUUGAUUUAAUGAACCAUGAAAGACAGGAUGACUUUGGAGAAGGCCAAACUGUCCUCUAAGACUCCUUAAUGAGUGGCAGAAGUCCCAGGGAGAACUGUCCCGUUCCAAAAGAGACACACUUGGAGGAGAAAUAUGGAGAGAAGAGCGGAGCAGCCGAGGAGCUCGAGAGGGAUGGCGCAUGGGCCCACGAUGGGCUUAGGGCCACACCGAGGCCCCCGUGGCUCCACCAUCGACAUGCUCUUGCAGGCACGGGCUGUGCGCACUUCUGUCCAGCCCCCACACCGCAGCUGGGCGCCCAGGCUCUCCCUCGCCGCCCCCCUGAGAGUCACCUCCCGCCUGCCCCACAGCUGAGGCUCCGGCUGUCCACCUUCUCCACUCAGUUUGCUUGGCAUUUCUGCACCUCCCUCUUGGCCAGGGCUGAGGGCUGGGUUGAGUCGAAGCCCGAAGCUCCACCUGAUGGUCCCCGGGGCCUUCCUGUUGCCUGCUGCUGAGAAUGUAUGUUUCACGCCGGGCGGCCACUUAUCCUCAACUUUGAUUUCCACUGUGAAUGAACACAGGAUAAAAUGAGCACAUGACACGGUGCCGGGCCAAUCGUAGACUCUCAAGUAGUCGCUCUGGUUAAUCACAGGAAGCCAGAGAGUCGGCGGGGAGCACUGGUGAAGGUUCCGGGAACACGAUAUACUGGAGCCUGCAUAACGGCUCCCGCGCCCCCUGUAGCAGGAGAGGAGGUGGGGGGGGGGAAGAUGUUCUCCGGGCCGUGCCGUGUGCCGGGCUCUGUGCGAAGGGCCUCACGUAAAUAAGUUGGGAGUAGCCCCAUUGGACAAUUUGAGGAAACUGAGGCUCGGACAGAAUGAAAUAACUUGCCCAAGGUGGGAAGUGGUGGGUUCAAUCAAACCCUCUUGGGAAGACUGAGCAGUGGGGAGGCCCUGGGUGUGCAGGGCCAGGAAGGGCGGAGGGAGCCUGCGGGGACCGCAGACAAUCCCUGUCUAAGAAGAGCUGGAGAACAAGGGUCAACACACAAUGGUGGCCGCAAGGGCUCUGCCCCCACCAGGGUGCUUGGCCUGUGGGCACCCUCUCCAUGUGGGGGUGCCGCUGAAACAAGGUGGGGCAAGGUGCCCAGGUGAAUGCUGACAGCAGGGCAGACAACUGAGUUUGAGUCAGAGGAAGAGAGAAUUCCUCACCCACCAGGGACUCCAAGACUGGGAGGGCUGAGGAGGAGACAUCGGGCUCUUACCCCCUGGUCCUCCCUAAAGAGAGGCCAGGGAUGCUCACCAAGGAUGGCGUGAGAAUAGAGCCACGGGAUCGUCCCACAGAGAAAAUCAGUCUCAUCUCUUCUGAGGGGACGCGAGUCGAGGCUCGUUGUCCACUAACGGCACUUCCCUCUGGCUACAAGCAUGGCAGCAGGACUGAAUCCCUUCAUAUCUGCGGCUCCUCAUCAUCUCCAGCCUCGGGGUCCCUGAGUGCCCUAAAAGAGCCUCCCACCUGGUUCUGAGGAACAAUGAACCCCCUCAUCCAAGAUCACUUUUGAGAUGCACGGUGCCCCAAGGAGCCUGCAGAGCGAUUUUGCGUUUGCAGCCAAAGCCCUCUCUGGAACACUUGGUGCCCCUGGCAGGCCUUCUCCAAACCCCAAAUGGCAAAGGGACUUGGGCUGUGCUUUUGCUGGCGGUGACCCUGGUUCAGAACUCCCUUUUCUUUCUCUGAGGUGGGCUGAGCAGUGCAGGGCACUCUGCCUAAAGCAGGUGCUGGUGAGUGUGUGGUGUGGGCCAAGGGCAGUGUGUCCUGGCCGGUACCUAUUCAGACAUUCAAUCCAUGGUCAAACCGUGGUCCCCCUUUGGAAAAUGCAGUCAUCUAUGUAUUGGGGGAAAGCAAUGAUUUGAGGUGCCCCAGCAUUGGAGACGCUGUUGAGAGAUGUUGGGGCAGCACAGGCAGGGCUUGGUAAAGGAGUAUGAGGAGGAAGGGGGGGUGGGGACAUAGCGUUUGGCUUACCAUGUAGCAAGGUUUCUGUGAAAGCCUGUGGGAGUAGAACGUGUGGGGGUGGGGAGAACUGAGGAUGAAGCCUGGGCCUGAGCAUUCCCAGGGCACAGAGGGCCCAGCCUCACCCUAGCAACGGGAGCAAUCCCGGUCAGAUCCCAUGUGUGGACGCCUCCUCAGCCUUCCGGGCAGCUCUCCCCGCUCCUGCUCCCUCAUCUUCACUCAUCCGCUUCAGUGACCUGCCCCUCACCCCUCCUAGCACGGCCAGGCCAGCCCAGGGUACCAGGAGCUCGCAGAGGUCUGAGCCGGCCAGGCAGCCCCUGCAGGCGGCCGAAGGGGUUCCUGCUAGGAGACAGAGCAGCUCAGACCAGGUGGAGCUGGGCCACCAGGUGGAGCUGGGCCACCAGGUGGAGUAGAGCCCAUCUUUCUAAGGUGGGCUGGAGCUGGUGUGACCCUUGGGCCCCUACCGCACAGCCCGCAGUGGUGGGGACAGGGGCAGCUGCGAGUCCUGCCUCCAAGGCCAGCCCCAGGCUGGUUCCACACCCUACCCCUUCUCCGAUGUUCUUGCCGUACGUUGUUACUAAAGAGAGUGUAUUUUCCACGGGGGCAUGCACUCCACCCUGUCAACAAGCUCAGGCAAGAGGACUUCACGGCCACAGUCUACAGAUGGGAAACAGGGGACCAGCGAAGUUGAGGCACUCGCUAGGAUCGCCCCUCUCCUGCCUGCCCUCCCCAUCCUCCUGCUUCCUUCCCCAAAUGCACACACCUUUUCCAGUGUGUACCCACCUAGGUCCUCAUUAGGCGAUUCUUGAUGUCCUUGUCCUUCGGGGUGGGUGCAGGAGGAGGGGCCUAGAGACCUCAGUGCCCCUCAUCAGUGGGACUGAGCUUCGGGGGCAGAGGGAAGCCGGUGGGGAUUGGGGCUCCUUGCCCAGCCCCCUUCGCUCCCUACUUAAAUGCCCCCCUUCCUCUUCCCUCAUCCUCGGAAGAUAUACUAACCCUUCACAUAAGCUUAGUUUCUGUUUAUAAAACUCACCGCAUCAAUCUUUGUCUCUGUUCCUGAACGUUGGCUCCAUUUGGCACUGGAGAAACUGAGAGCAAAAGAUUACUUGACUUUUUCAAGGUCAUUCAGAGGAGCAGGGACCACAGCCCAACCCCUCAUCUAAGGCCAACUCUGCAUCCUAAUCCAAGGCCUGGAUACCCAGACGUGGCCAGGCCUCUGCAGAGACCUCAAGCAGCUGUGACUUUGUGGGGAAGAACAGAAGGCCCGUGACCACCUAGGGCACUGCCAUGACAGGGCCAACAGUCCGGGAUGGAAGGCCCAGAUGUCAGGCUACAGGUGGAGAAGGAGUGCAGGGCGGGGGUGAUCCUGGUUCCCCUCUGCCCCUGGCCCUGAGUGGCUCCUCAGGCCAUCCCUUGGCAGCCAUUCUCCUACCUUCAGGGUCACACAGCAUUUCUGUCUGUAGGGGAUCUCACUGUUCCUCUGCCGCAGCUUAUGGGUCACCCUCCAGAGGGAGUGAGCCAGCUGAGUGACCAUGACCGUGAUUCUUGUGGCGAAAACCCCGACCUUCAACCUCUCUCACCUCUUUGUCCUGACACUUUACUCUCUUAGUUUCUAUUCCAGUCCCUCCUCUGCGGGAUCUGACUCAAUUAUUCCUUUGCCCACCCCCCGCCCAGUUGGCCUCUGCAGGGGUGUGGAAGUGGGAGAGAGCAGGUGAGUUCUCCGGAAGGGCUCAGGGGUCCUGCGUCCUGCUCCACAAAUGCCAGGACGCUUUUCUCCUCUCUCCAUCUCCUAAUGUUUUGGCUCCUUGUUCUCUUCAUUACCUUCCUCUGUUCCUCUUGCUCUUCGGGGGACUCGGGGACACAGGCACAGAGGCCCCGGCUCCUGAGGGCAGGUGCGCGUGCCCGCUGCUGUCCGCUCGCUCGGGCAGUCGCACCCCACCACCUUCAACCCCACCUGCAGCGUCACAGGCCCUGGGACAGAACCAGCUGGCCGGCCUUCGAAGACGCGGGAGGCCACGGGCAAGGCGGGCCCCCUGCUGGCCCGCAUCCCUGCCCCCCGCCGCCCCCCCCCCCCCCCGACGGCACCCUGUCUCCCUCCUCUUGCAAAGCCACAGAGGCCGCCCGGGGAUUCGGGGGGCCGGACCGGGGACUCCGGGGCGGCGGCGGGAAGCGGGGCUCUGGCUGAGGGGAGGAGGGAGGCCGGGCGCAGCCCCGUGCCCCGUGGCAGCUGGCCAGGUCGUGGAGCGGAGCGCAGCCUGCGGCUCUCCCAGGGAAAUGUGAUUUCCCCUUGAGUGAAGCGGACUGUGCAGUGUGGAAAUUGGCUCUUUUCUGAGCGAGCGGCGGCUGUUCUGGAGUCGGGGCGGGCUGGGGCCCGCGGGAGGCCGCGCCGGCCCCUGGAGUGAGCCGGGAGCAGCCAUGUGCUCAGAACUCAUUAGGGAUAAAUCAAACCAGUACCAGCAUGAAGCCAACACCCUCCACCGCCCCCCCCCCCCCCGCGCCUCGGGUCCCCACCCCCUCCGAGACCCCCUACUACCACCACCUCCUCCUCCUCCGCAGCCCAGGCCCCCUCCCCCACGCCAGGGAGCUGCGCCCACCGCACACACAACCGCACACUCAGCCUGCCACCCACUCCAGGAGUGGGCCUCCAACGGGAGCCCUGUUCCUUCGCAAAUAAAUCCUGGUUGUCUGGUUUUUGUUUGUUUGCUUUGGGGAGGGGGUACUGGUAGCAAGCCUAACUCCCCG
This is an RNA transcript of Zalophus californianus (California sea lion), 6422 nucleotides long. It is a transcript of the gene named paired box 8, with no coding region annotated. Lineage: Eukaryota; Metazoa; Chordata; Mammalia; Carnivora; Otariidae. The transcript has 13 exons. The record is from RefSeq and is a predicted model, not a curated record.